CAGCAGCCGCGGUAAUGCGAAGGGUGCAAGCGUUACUCGGAAUUACUGGGCGUAAAGCGUGCGUAGGUGGUGGUUUAAGUCCGUUGUGAAAGCCCUGGGCUCAACCUGGGAAUUGCAGUGGAUACUGGGUCACUAGAGUGUGGUAGAGGAUAGUGGAAUUUCCGGUGUAGCAGUGAAAUGCGUAGAGAUCGGAAGGAACAUCUGUGGCGAAGGCGACUAUCUGGGCCAACACUGACACUGAGGCACGAAAGCGUGGGGAGCAAACAGGAUUAGAUACCCGUGUAGUCCCUGUCUCUUAUAU
This 301-nucleotide ribosomal RNA is filed under the name uncultured bacterium. RNAcentral describes it as "partial 16S ribosomal RNA". It matches the Rfam family "Bacterial small subunit ribosomal RNA", at positions 509 to 809 of the family's 1533-position model. The record is from RNAcentral.